CGGACGGGUGAGUAAUGUCUGGGAAACUGCCUGAUGGAGGGGGAUAACUACUGGAAACGGUAGCUAAUACCGCAUAACGUCGCAAGACCAAAGAGGGGGACCUUAGGGCCUCUUGCCAUCGGAUGUGCCCAGAUGGGAUUAGCUUGUUGGUGGGGUAACGGCUCACCAAGGCGACGAUCCCUAGCUGGUCUGAGAGGAUGACCAGCCACACUGGAACUGAGACACGGUCCAG
This 232-nucleotide ribosomal RNA is filed under the name uncultured bacterium. Its description in RNAcentral is "partial 16S ribosomal RNA". It matches the Rfam family "Bacterial small subunit ribosomal RNA", at positions 99 to 334 of the family's 1533-position model. The record is from RNAcentral.